AGAGUUUGAUCCUGGCUCAGAGUGAACGCUAGCGGCGCGCCUAACACAUGCAAGUCGAGUGCUGUUAAAAGCACGGCAAACGGCUGCGUAACACGUUGGAAUCUGCCCCGAACUCAGGGAUAACCCGCCGAAAGGCGGGGUAAUACCGGAUGCCCUCGCAAGAGGAAAGAUUUAUCGGUUCGGGAGGAGCCUGCGGCCUAUCAGCUAGUUGGUGAGGUAAUCCUCACCAAGGCAAUGACGGGUAGCUGGUCUGAGAGGACGACCAGCCAGAAUGGGACUGAGACACGGCCCAUACUCCUACGGGAGGCAGCAGUGAGGAAUCUUCCGCAAUGGACGAAAGUCUGACGGAGCGACGCCGCGCGUGGAUGAAGGCCUUAACUGGUCGUAAACACCUGUUCUGAGGGACGAAAUUUUUGACGGUACCCCAGGAGAAAGUAUCGGCAAACCCUGUGCCAGCAGCCGCGGUAAUACAGGGGAUACAAGCGUUACUCGGAAUCACUGGGCGUAAAGCGUCUGUAGGUGCCUGAGCAAGUCUGCGGUAAAAGUCCGGGGCUCAACCCCGGAAGCGUCGCGGAAACUGUUAAGGUUGAGCAGUGGAGAGGUAUCUGGAAUGUCGCAUGUAGGAGUAAAAUCCGUAGAUAUGCGAUGGAACGCCAAAAGCGAAGGCAGGAUACUAGCCACUUGCUGACACUGAGAGACGAAAGCGUGGGGAGCGAAGGGGAUUAGAUACCCCCGUAGUCCACGCCCUAAACGAUGCGAGCUCGAUGUGGGAGGUUCUCAAUUGCCUUCCGUGUCCAAGCUAACGCGGUAAGCUCGCCGCCUGGGGAGUACGGUCGCAAGACUAAAACUCAAAGGAAUAGACGGGGACCCACACAAGCGGUGGAGCAUGGGGUUUAAUUCGAUAAUAAGCGGAGAACCUCACCUAGGCUUGACAUCUCUGGAAUCUCCCGGAAACGGGGGAGUGCCGCAAGGAACCAGAAGACAGGUGCUGCACGGUUGUCGUCAGCUCGUGCCUUGAGGUGUACUGUUAAGUCAGCGAACGAGCGCAACCCUCAUCCUAUGUUGUUUUUUCAUGGGAGACUGCCGCCUCCAAGGCGGAGGAAGGUGAGGAUGACGUCAAAUCAGCGUGGCCCUUAUGCCUAGGGCGACACCCGUGCUACAAUGGUCGAUACAAACCGUUGCAAACUCGCGAGAGGGAGCCAAUCGGAAAAAAUCGAUCUCAGUUCGAGUUGAAGUCUGCAACUCGACUUCAUGAAGUUGGAAUCGCUAGUAACCGUGAAUCAGCCAUGUCACGGUGAAUAUGUUCCUGGGUCUUGUACUCACCGCCCGUCAAGUCAU
Molecule: ribosomal RNA, 1338 nt
Filed under: metagenome
Description: bacterial SSU rRNA
Rfam family: Bacterial small subunit ribosomal RNA
Source: RNAcentral